CCGCGGUAAUACGUAGGUGGCAAGCGUUAUCCGGAUUUAUUGGGCGUAAAGGGCACGCAGGCGGUCUUUUAAGUCUGAUGUGAAAGCCUCCGGCUUAACCGGGGUGGGUCAUUGGAAACUGGGGGACUUGAGUGCAGAAGAGGAGAGUGGAACUCCACGUGUAGCGGUGAAAUGCGUAGAUAUAUGGAAGAACACCAGUGGCGAAAGCGGCUCUCUGGUCUGUAACUGACGCUGAGGUUCGAAAGCGUGGGUAGCAAACAGG
RNAcentral lists this ribosomal RNA (262 nucleotides) under uncultured bacterium. RNAcentral describes it as "partial 16S ribosomal RNA". It matches the Rfam family "Bacterial small subunit ribosomal RNA", at positions 515 to 776 of the family's 1533-position model. The record is from RNAcentral.